GACGAACGCUGGCGGCGUGCUUAACACAUGCAAGUCGAACGGAAAGGCCCUGCUUUUGUGGGGUGCUCGAGUGGCGAACGGGUGAGUAACACGUGAGUAACAUGCACUUGACUUUGGGAUAACUUCAGGAAACUCGGGCUCAUAUCCGAUAGGAGCUCCUGCUGCAUGGUGGGGGUUGGAAAGUUUCGGCGGUUGUGGAUGGACUGGCGGCUUAUCAGCUUGUUGGUGGGGUAGUGGCUUACCAAGGCUUUGACGGGUAGCCGGCCUGGGAGGGUUACCGGCCACAAUGCGACUGAGAUACGGCGCAGACGCCUACGGGAGGCAGCAGGGGGAAAUAUGGCGCAGUGGGCGGAAGCCUGAUGCGGCGAUGCCGCGUGCGGGAUGACGUCCUUCGAGGUGUAAACCGAUUUCGCCUGUGACGAAGCGGGAGUGACGGUAAUGGGUAAAGAAGCACCGGCUAACUACGUG
Molecule: ribosomal RNA, 468 nt
Filed under: uncultured bacterium
Lineage: Bacteria
Description: partial 16S ribosomal RNA
Rfam family: Bacterial small subunit ribosomal RNA
Source: RNAcentral